Molecule: ribosomal RNA, 500 nt
Filed under: uncultured bacterium
Lineage: Bacteria
Description: partial 16S ribosomal RNA
Rfam family: Bacterial small subunit ribosomal RNA
Source: RNAcentral
AUUGAACGCUGGCGGCAUGCCUUACACAUGCAAGUCGAACGGCAGCGCGGACUUCGGUCUGGCGGCGAGUGGCGAACGGGUGAGUAAUACAUCGGAACGUACCCUGUUGUGGGGGAUAACUAGUCGAAAGAUUAGCUAAUACCGCAUACGACCUGAGGGUGAAAGUGGGGGACCGCAAGGCCUCACGCAGCAGGAGCGGCCGAUGUCUGAUUAGCUAGGUGGUGGGGUAAAGGGCCACCAAGGCGACGAUCAGUAGCUGGUCUGAGAGGACGAUCAGCCACACUGGGACUGAGACACGGCCCAGACUCCUACGGGAGGCAGCAGUGGGGAAUUUUGGGCAAUGGGGGCAACCCUGAUCCAGCAAUGCCGCGUGUGUGAAGAAGGCCUACGGGUUGUAAAGCACUUUUGUCCGGAAAGAAAUCGCGCUGGUUAAUACCUGGCGUGGAUGACGGUACCGGAAGAAUAAGCACCGGCUAACUACGUGCCAGCCGCCGCAGUAA